Molecule: long non-coding RNA, 1088 nt
Organism: Oreochromis aureus
Lineage: Eukaryota; Metazoa; Chordata; Actinopteri; Cichliformes; Cichlidae
Exons: 3
Source: RefSeq, a predicted model, not a curated record
UGUCUUUUGUUACACAGAGUGAACGAGAUCUUUGGUUUUGCCUUUGCUGACUGCUGAUCUGAUCGUCUCAAGUCUGGUGACCUGUUGCAGAAGAUCCUCUCUCUCUAUCAUUAUAAGCAAUUCUGUCUAUCCUAUCACUCUCCUGACUCUAUCUAAUUUGACAGCCAUUCUAUCUUGUAUCCCUCUAUCUCUACUGCUCUAUCUAAUUUGACAGCCAUUCUAUCUUGUAUCCCUCUAUCUCUACUGCUCUAUCUAAUUUGACAGCCAUUCUAUCUUGUAUCCCUCUAUCUCUACUGCUCUAUCUAAUUUGACAGCCAUUCUAUCUUGUAUCCCUCUAUCUCUACUGCUCUAUCUAAUUUGACAGCCAUUCUAUCUUGUAUCCCUCUAUCCCAAGCGCUCUAUCUAAUUUCAGAAUCCAAGUUUUCAGAAAUCCAAGUUUUCAGAAUCCAAGUUGUCAGAAAUCCAAGUACCAGUACUUGAUCUAUCUGUUAAAGAAUUCUGAGAGAUCUCUGCUCUCACUGCUCCUUCUUUCCUGUCAUUAAACUCUCUCACAUUCAGUCAAUUUGCUGGAAAUUACAAUUAGAAAGUUGAAUAUACAGUAGUAGAAUUGCAGUACAGUAGAACUUAUAGUAGAAACUACUUUUACAGCCCUACAUUUGUAGUUUUAACUUGGCAUUACACUUUUGAAUAAACACUGAUAGUUUGGCUUACUGGUGCAAUUACUUUGAUACAUUGUAUAAAAUAUACACCUUUUAUAAGGUGUAUUUGUAAUAAGAUAAUCUGACUAUUCUGUAAUAUAUUCAGAGUGCUAUAUUCACAUAAAUAUUAAAUUUGAUUCAUAUACAUUUUUCAAGUCUGUUUCAUUGGCUAUAACAUUUGACUACAAGUUUAUACUAUUAUUAUUUAAGGACAAACCGUUUUUUGUCACUCAGUGUAAGUGUUCAGUUACAGUUGUCAUCUAGAGGCUGCCCUGAGAACCCAGACUUCCUGUUUCCUGACUGCUGCAGAACAUCCAGCUGAAGAAUCCCCAUCACCUGUCAUCUGAUCACCACACCAUCACAGCUCCUUAUAUUUGCUUUAAAUUUUAA